RNAcentral lists this ribosomal RNA (350 nucleotides) under uncultured Glomeromycotina. RNAcentral describes it as "SSU rRNA". It matches the Rfam family "Eukaryotic small subunit ribosomal RNA", at positions 569 to 918 of the family's 1831-position model. Lineage: Eukaryota; Fungi; Glomeromycota. The record is from RNAcentral.
AGCAGCCGCGGUAAUUCCAGCUCCAAUAGCGUAUAUUAAAGUUGUUGCAGUUAAAAAAGCUCGUAGUUGAAUUUCGGGGUCAGUAGGUUGGUCGUGCCACCGGUACGUACUGGUCUCACUGAUUCCUCCUUCCUGACUGGGCUGUAAUGCCAUUAAUUUGGUGUUGCAGGGAAUCUGGACUGUUACUUUGAAAAAAAUUAGAGUGUUUAAAGCAGGCUAACGCUUGAAUACAUUAGCAUGGAAUAAUGAAAUAGGACGUUCGAUCCUAUUUUGUUGGUUUCUUAGGAUUGACGUAAUGAUUAAUAGGGAUAGUUGGGGGCAUUAGUAUUUCAAUUGUCAGAGGUGAAAUU